Choloepus didactylus (southern two-toed sloth) is the source of this 1678-nucleotide long non-coding RNA. RefSeq lists it as uncharacterized. The transcript is spliced from 3 exons. Lineage: Eukaryota; Metazoa; Chordata; Mammalia; Pilosa; Megalonychidae. The record is from RefSeq and is a predicted model, not a curated record.
UCUUCUUGGGACUAAAGCCUGCCAUCCCUCGCGUCUGGCUUCGGUCUCAAAGGAGAGUAGCUGAGGGCCAACCCACCUACCCACCUACCCACCUAGUCCCCAUUCCAAAGUCCCAGCACAGGUGCCAUGAAAACCAACUUGUUUGGAGAAAAACAGAAACCAGAGUUAUAAAUUCAUACUCUGGGUCUGCUAGGAGAACCCCUCUCUCCAAAAUGCUGUCCUCACUACGCACCUAAAACAUGCGACAAAAAGCCCUGAACACCUGGAAUUGAACGUCUACAAACACAUUGUUUUGUUCAGUGUAAAUCAAUUUGCUGGCAGAAGUCUCAGCUCCCAUCCACCGUCCUGGAAGCACAAGGAAUGCCACGGGCCAGGAGCUGUUUCUCUGCUGAUUGGCCCCUCCAGGUGCCCUGGAAGCAACAGGAGGCUCUGCUGCCUCACCACGCAGGGCCGUCAUCCACAAAACAGGGAAAUCGUCCAUUAACCAGUCCAGUGAGAACUGCUCCAGUAACUAAUGAAACUGUGAAGUGCUGCUACACAAAGAUGAGGAAUGUUAUCGACAACCACAAAAGCGGCAGAAGAUUAGCACUUGGCUCCGUGUGGUGUCCUGGGGUGUGCUAGCUGAGUUGCAGGGAACUAAGUCCUGGCAUUCACCACACCAGAGUCAACAUGCAACUGUUGCAGGACAGAGACACACUUCCUGUUGGCUGAAAAGCCACGGUGUCGGUAAAUCCUCCUGAAGAUCCAGAACAGAAGUGUACUUGUAAACUUCUGAGCGACCUAAAAUAUUUGUUCAGGAAAAAGUCUUCCUAAUCAAAUUAGUUAUGAUGUCCCCUGUUAUCUAUUUUUCCAUAACCUUAAUAUGCCCUUUGGUAGCAACCUGCAAAAGUAACCUUUUCUUGCAGGUGGCCUAUUCAUAUGCUGCCUGUAUGAACGGUCUAACUGCUGGAUUUGUAUCCAGCUGCCUAUCCCUAGAGUCUCUAACUUGCCCUGGUAGAUAUCUCCCUUACAGCAGACAGACUAAAUAGCUCAAGUCAUUAAUAAUGAAGACGCAAGAAAAAUACAGUGCGUUAAGCACCGAUAACAUCACCAGAAACAAUCUUGUCAUUGGUUAGUAAAUUUAACCCAGCAAGGACAUCAUCUUGUUUUCUCUGCCAAUAUCACUAGUGAAGUGGGGCUAUGUUAUUCCUAUUAAAUUUUAAAAAGGGGGAAAAAAACUUUACUGAAAGUAUAAAAAUUGAACAUGUUCAAUUCUAGGAUUAAAUAGUUUUAACUUACCCAGGAUAUAGGAGACUGAGCCAGAAGGCUCCACUUUAUCAGGGAUGCUACACAUCCCUCCCUUGAUAUGCAAAAUGGGACAGUUACCCUCUAAAACCUGUCAACAAACCAUCUCUUCAUUAGCCAGUAAUUAACAUAGAACUGGAAUCUGAGACCUAAAAUACAGUAAGUAUGGAAUGGAUCGAAUGGAACCCAAUAAAUCUGAUAAUCAUGCAAUAUUUGUCCCAGUUUUACGAAUCAGCUACGAAGACCUACUCUUUCCCAAAAAGCAACAGUAUCCCCUUAAAACUGAAAAUAUAAUAAGUAUCCAACCCCUUAUCCAAAAGUUUCUGAAAACUGGCCUCCUAGUUCCUUGCCAGUCUCCUGUAAUACCCCUGUCCUGCCUGUAAAAGAGCCAAAU